UCAGGACGAACGCUGGCGGCACGCUUAACACAUGCAAGUCGAACGAGGUCCAUCCACUCGCAAGAGUGGUGAAGACCUAGUGGCGAACGGGUGAGUAACACGUGAGAAACCUGCCCCGAAGACCGGGAUAACUCACCGAAAGGUGAGCUAAUACCGGAUGCCUUCACGACGUCUCAUGGCGAUGUGAAGAAAUGGAUUCCGCUUCGGGAGGGUCUCGCGGCCUAUCAGCUUGUUGGUGAGGUAACGGCUCACCAAGGCGACGACGGGUAGCUGUUCUGAGAGGAAGAUCAGCCACACUGGGACUGAGACACGGCCCAGACUCCUACGGGAGGCAGCAGUGGGGAAUCUUGCGCAAUGGGCGAAAGCCUGACGCAGCGAUGCCGCGUGCGGGAAGACGGCCUUCGGGUUGUAAACCGCUUUCAGCAGGGACGAAAUUGACGGUACCUGCAGAAGAAGCUCCGGCCAACUACGUGCCAGCAGCCGCGGUAAGACGUAGGGGGCGAGCGUUGUCCGGAAUUAUUGGGCGUAAAGGGCUCCUAGGCGGUUCAGUAAGUCGACUGUGAAAAUCCAAGGCUCAACCUUGGGACGCCAGUCGAUACUGCUGUGACUCGAGUUCGGUAGAGGAAUGUGGAAUUCCUGGUGUAGCGGUGAAAUGCGCAGAUAUCAGGAGGAACACCAACGGCGAAGGCAGCACUCUGGGCCGAUACUGACGCUGAAGAGCGAAAGCGUGGGGAGCA
RNAcentral lists this ribosomal RNA (737 nucleotides) under uncultured Actinomycetes bacterium. Its description in RNAcentral is "bacterial SSU rRNA". It matches the Rfam family "Bacterial small subunit ribosomal RNA", at positions 24 to 770 of the family's 1533-position model. The record is from RNAcentral. Lineage: Bacteria; Bacillati; Actinomycetota; Actinomycetes.